GGGAGAGCUAGGCUGAGCAGGGAAGAACAGGAAAUGGGGGCGGGGAUGAAAACCUGCAUCACAACAAAAGGAUUUCCCUGAUUGCAGAAAUGAGUCAAACAUCUCUGAAGCUGAAAAAGAAGGUCAGUGAUUCGAAUGCCCUAGAGUCUUACCGAGGAGCUGAGGAAACACAAAUACCAGUCUAUCCUUCACCUCUGGGAAUUCUCACAAUUUCUACCUGGUAAUAAUUCAGAUACUGAGAGUAAUUUGAUCAUAAGACCAGAAGAUACAUCCGUCAAUAAUCUGCACAGGAUUAAGGUCUUUGUUUUAAAAACAUCACACUAAUAUUGGUGAGGGACAGAUACACAGAACACUGCUGCUAUAAUUAUUAAGAAAACAAACAGAAAGUUUUAAUUCUAU
Long non-coding RNA from Heterocephalus glaber (naked mole-rat), 399 nucleotides. The record is from Ensembl. Lineage: Eukaryota; Metazoa; Chordata; Mammalia; Rodentia; Bathyergidae.